This 253-nucleotide ribosomal RNA is filed under the name uncultured bacterium. Its description in RNAcentral is "partial 16S ribosomal RNA". It matches the Rfam family "Bacterial small subunit ribosomal RNA", at positions 524 to 776 of the family's 1533-position model. The record is from RNAcentral.
UACGUAGGGAGCAAGCGUUGUUCGGAUUUACUGGGCGUAAAGGGCGCGUAGGCGGCUCGGUAAGUCACUUGUGAAAUCUCUGAGCUUAACUCAGAACGGCCAAGUGAUACUGCAGUGCUAGAGUGCAGAAGGGGCAAUCGGAAUUCUUGGUGUAGCGGUGAAAUGCGUAGAUAUCAGGAGGAACACCUGAGGUGAAGACGGGUUGCUAGGCUGACACUGACGCUGAGGCGCGAAAGCCAGGGGAGCAAACGGG